ACCCGGCCGCUGCCGGUCGGCCCGCUGGUUGGUCGGUUAGUUGGUCGGUGGGUCGGUGGCCUAGAGCUCGCUUCUCGGCUCUCAUGUUCGGAGGUGGGAGGGGCACGGGAAAGGCCCGCACACCUGAGCUGCCCGGAGAGGAUCCCCGCACCCAGGAGAAGGAGGAGACUAAGCAGGGGGAAGGACUCAUGGCUUCUGAUGCGAGUCACGCGCUGGAAGCUGCCCUGGAGCAGAUGGACGGGAUCAUUGCAGGCACUAACACAGGGGUAGAUAUUAGCGAUGAUACCUGUGAGCCUGGACUGGCCUCCGCGGCUUCCUACAUGAACCCCUUCCCGGUGCUGCGUCUCGUCGAGGACUUGAGGCUGGCCCUGGAGAUGCUGGAGCAUUCUCAGGAGAGAGCAGCCCUGCUGAGCCAGAUCCCAGGCCCCACAGCUGCCUACAUGAAGGAGUGGUUCGAGGAGAGCGUGUCCCAGGUAAAUCACCACAGUGCUGCUAGUAAUGAAACGUACCAGGAACGCUUAGCACGUCUAGAAGGAGAUAAGGAGUCCCUCAUAUUACAGGUGAGUGUCCUCACAGACCAAGUGGAAGCCCAAGGAGAGAAGAUUCGGGACCUGGAAGUGUGUCUGGAAGGGCACCAGGUGAAACUCAAUGCUGCUGAAGAGAUGCUUCAACAGGAGCUGCUAAGUCGUACAUCUCUUGAGACUCAGAAGCUCGAUCUGAUGACUGAAGUGUCUGAGCUGAAGCUCAAGCUGGUGGGCAUGGAGAAGGAGCAGAGAGAGCAGGAAGAGAAGCAGAAAAAAGCAGAGUCGGUUCUGAAUGUGAUCAGUGAGCUGCAGGAGCAGAUGUGUAGGCUGCAGCUGGACAUCCACAGGCAGAUUCAAGAGCGCCUCUCACUCAGUAGGGACCACCCUGAGGAGGUGGCAGCCGGCGACGGUGCGGCCCGGCCCCAGCCCUGCGGCCAGGAGUGUGCCCGUUGGGAGGGGUCACCUGAGUUACUGCAGGAGCUCCGGCACCUCAAAAUCAAGGUGGAAGAGUUGGAAAAUGAACGGAACCAGUAUGAAUGGAAACUGAAGGCCACCAAGGCUGAGGUAGCCCAGCUGCAAGAGCAGGUAGCCCUGAAGGAUGCAGAAAUUGAGCGUCUGCACAGCCAGCUGUCCCGGACCGCAGCUCUGCACAAUGACCAUGCAGAGAAAGACCAAGAAAUCCAACGUCUGAAAAUGGGGAUGGAAACUUUGCUUGUUGCCAAUGAAGAUAAGGACCGUCGGAUAGAGGAGCUUACUGGGCUGUUAAACCAGUACCGAAGGGUGAAGGAGAUCGUGAUGGCGACUCAAGGGCCUUCAGAAAGAACUCUCUCAAUCAAUGAGGAGGAACUGGAGGGAGGUUUCAGAAACUGGAACACUGCAAAUAAAGGCCCUGAAGAACUUUUUAAACCAGAGGUAUCUCCAAGAGGUAGCUCUCCCACGGUGGGACCACCCCCGCUACCGCAGAAAUCACUGGAAAGCAGGGCUCAGAAAAAACUCUCCUGUAGUCUCGAAGACUUGAGAAGUGAAUCCGUGGAUAAGUGCGUCGGUGGGAACCAGCUCUCCCCAGUGGUAGAACCCAAGGACGGCCCUUUCCUGGUGGAGCACAAGUACCCCACGUUACCUGGGAAGAUUUCAGGAGCCACGCCCAACGGAGAGGCUGCCAGAUCUUCUCCCACUGCCUCCCCGCAUGACCCUGCAGGGAGCGGCCUGCUGAGGCUGAAUCGUGGCCGGAGUGUCAGUGCCCCCGUGCUAGGAGACACAGAAAGUGGUUGGGACAACACUGCUGUGGUCAAUGACCUCUCAUCCAUGUCAUCGGGCACCGAGUCCAGCCCCCAGUCUCCCGUGACAUCAGAUGGUAAACGGAGCCCCAAAGGCAUCAAGAAAUUCUGGGGAAAAAUCCGAAGGACUCAGUCAGGAAAUUUCAACACCGAUGCCCCGGGGGUGGCCGAGUUUCGACGAGGUGGACUCCGGGCAACUGCAGGGCCAAGACUCUCUAGGACCAGAGACCCCAAGGGUCAGAAAAGUGAUGCCAACGCCCCCUUCGCCCAGUGGAGCACAGAGCGUGUGUGUGCAUGGCUGGAGGACUUUGGCCUGGCUCAGUACGUGAUCUUUGCCAGGCAGUGGGUGACUUCUGGCCACACUUUACUGACAGCUACCCCUCAGGACAUGGAAAAGGAGUUGGGAAUUAAGCACCCUCUUCAUAGGAAAAAGCUGGUUUUAGCAGUGAAAGCCAUCAACACCAAACAGGAGGAGAAGUCUGCACUACUAGACCACAUUUGGGUGACACGUUGGCUUGAUGAUAUUGGCUUACCCCAGUACAAAGACCAGUUUCAUGAAUCCAGAGUCGACGGGCGAAUGCUGCAGUACCUAACUGUGAAUGAUCUACUUUUCCUAAAAGUCACCAGCCAACUACAUCAUCUCAGCAUCAAAUGUGCCAUUCACGUGCUGCAUGUCAACAAGUUCAACCCUCACUGCCUGCACCGGCGGCCAGCUAAUGAGAGUAACCUUUCUCCUUCAGAAGUUGUGCAGUGGUCCAACCACAGGGUGAUGGAAUGGUUGCGGUCCGUGGACCUGGCGGAAUAUGCACCCAACCUUCGUGGGAGUGGCGUCCAUGGAGGUCUCAUUAUCCUGGAGCCACGCUUCACUGGGGACACCCUGGCCAUGCUUCUCAAUAUCCCACCACAAAAGACACUCCUCAGACGCCAUCUGACCACCAAAUUCAAUGCCUUGAUUGGUCCUGAGGCUGAGCAGGAGAAGCGAGAGAAAAUGACUUCACCUGCUUACACGCCACUGACUACCACAGCCAAAGUCCGGCCAAGGAAACUGGGAUUUUCACAUUUUGGAAACAUAAGAAAAAAGAAGUUCGAUGAAUCGACAGACUACAUUUGCCCAAUGGAGCCCAGCAACAGUGUCGGUGACAGUCACAGGGUCUGUAUUGGCUACCAGGGCCUCAGCCCCCUCGAUGCCCCUGAACUGGAUGGGCUGGACCAGAUGUCACCUUCGGAAGGCACCCUGACGCAGAUAGGGCUCCUCUCCCAAGACAUUCACCGCCUCACGGGCCUCACAGUUCCUAGACGGCCCCAGCACUGAGCCCAGCGGCCAGAGCAUCCAGCCCAUUGAGGCCUUUGCUGAUUUACUGAGGCAGGUAAUGAAGGCUGUAUCCAAGGGCAAGACGGUCAAGGAGGUGGGCGCGGGGGGGGGUCUCCCCGAAUCCAAACAAGAUCACUGUUUUCAAUUUGUUUUUUUCUUGGCUCACACACUGAAAUGAAUCUACCCAGCCUUGCCCUUAUCACUUCUAUAGGCCUUUGGUGGCCUUGAAAUAGCAACUUUACUUCUAAAGACUAUGCUCAGCCAGGACCAGCUGCUGACCGACUCCCGCCUGGCCGCUCCCAACUCUGAGGACUGGUGAUGACUGUCUUAUCGCUGGCAGCCCGGAGAGGCACGUGUGAGGGCCUGAGUCUGCUUCGAGGGGGGGCUGGCCCAUGGCCACCCGCGGAGCCCAGGCUGGGCUACAGGACAUCUCCAACAUGGGUGCUGACGGGACAAAGCGGGGCUGUGGAACAGAUGUCCAGGAGGUGGCCCACAUGUUUUCAACUGUGCUGUGCUCUUCAUUGUGCUUUUAUACCUUUUGUACUUUUAUACGUGGACUGUAAACCACUUUUGUGGGGAGGGCGAUGAGAUGCCAGCACAGACUCAAUGACUCACGCCAUCCCUGGUGACAGCUGGGGGUUCUUAAACCAAAGGGGAAGGGCUGUGAGUCAUAAAAGCUUUGCUGGAAAAAUAA
Balaenoptera acutorostrata (minke whale) is the source of this 3807-nucleotide RNA transcript. It is a transcript of the gene named PPFIA binding protein 2, with no coding region annotated. The transcript has 29 exons. The record is from RefSeq and is a predicted model, not a curated record. NCBI's taxonomy places the organism in Eukaryota, Metazoa, Chordata, Mammalia, Artiodactyla, Balaenopteridae.